UAUGUAUUCCCUCCGUCCAAAAAUACUUGUCAUCAAAAUGGAUAGAAAGGGAUGUAUGCGGAACUAAAAUACGUCUAGAUACAUCUCCUUUAUUCAUUUUCAUGACAAGUAUUUCCGAACGGAGGGAAUAGUUU
Molecule: non-coding RNA, 134 nt
Organism: Triticum aestivum (bread wheat)
Lineage: Eukaryota; Viridiplantae; Streptophyta; Magnoliopsida; Poales; Poaceae
Source: Rfam